GUUUCACCUGACAAACUGAAAGGUUUUUUUGUUUGUUUUUGUUUUGUUUUGUUUUGUUUUGGAGACAGGAUCUUGCUCCGUCACCUGGGCUGGAGUGCAGUGGCAUGAUCUUGGAUUCUAAUCUCUGCCUCCUGGGCUCAAGCGAUCCUCUUGCCUUAGCCUCCAGAGUAGCUGGAACUACAGGUGACAUGGCUUCUCCUGCUUCACCUUCCACCAUGAGUAAAUGCUCCCUAAGGCCUCCCUGGAAGCUGAGCAGAUGUCAGCACCAUGCUUCCUGUAAAGCCUGCAGAACUGUGAGCCAUUUAAACCUCUUUUCUUUAUAAAUUACCCAGUCUCAGGUAUUUAUUUACAACAACGCAAGAACAGCCUGAUACAAACACUUAACAUAAAAUCUACCUUAACAAAUUGUUAAGUGUACAAUACAGUAUUGUUAACUAUAGUCACGAUGUGGUACAACAGAUCUCUGGAACUUGUUCAUCUUGUGUAACUGAAGCUUUAUCCCCCUGAAUAACAGCUACCAUUCCCUAAGCCCCUUACAGCCCCUGGCAGCCAUCAUUCUAUUCUCUAUAUGAGUUUGACUAUUUUAAAUACAUCAUGAAAGUGGAAUCAUGAGGUAUUUGUCUUUCUGUGACUAGUUUGUUUCACUUAGCAUAAUAUCCUCAAAGUUCUUCCAUAUUGUCAUGUGUGGCAGGAUUUUCUUCUUUUUCAAGGCUGAAUAAUAUUCCAUUUAUAUUCAUACCACAUUUUUUUUUUUAGACAGAGUCUUGUUCUGUCACCCAGGCUGGAGUGUAGUGGUACUAUCUUGGCUCACUGUAACCUCUGCCUCCCAUGUUCAAGCGAUUCUUUUGCCUCAGCCUCCUGAGUAGCUGGGAUUACAGGUGAGUGCCACCACACCCAGCUAAUUUUUAUAUUUUUAGUAGACACGGGGUUUCACCAUGUUAGUCACAGGCUGGUCUUGAACUCCUGGCCUCAGGUGAUCCACCCACCUCAACCUCCCAAAGUGCUGGGAUUACAGGUAUGAGCCGCCGUACCUGGUCUCUUACCACAUUUAUUGACUCAUCUGUUGAUGGGCAUUUAGGUUGUUUCCAUAUCUUGACUAUAAUAAUAUAAUGAUAAUGCUGCAAUGAACAUGGGAGUGCAAAUAUCUCUAGCACAUCUUUACUUCAAUUCUUCUUGAUAAAUACCUAGAAAUAGGAUUGCUGAAUCAUCUGGUAGUUCUAUUUUUAAUUUUUUAAGGAACGCUCCAUACUGUUUUCCAUCAGGGCUGUACCAUUUUACAGUCUUAACAACAGAGUACAAGGGUUCCAAUUUCUCCACAUCCCACCAACACUUGUUAUCUUUUAUUUUUUUCAUGGUAGCCAUCCUAAUAGGUGUGAGGUGGUUAGAACCUUAUUUUCUAAUCUCAGCCCUGGGGACUUGCUUCUGCUGCAUUCCUUUUUCCAAGAGCAUCUUUCUCUCACCGCAGGGGGUUCUAGGAUCUCUUCAGGGGUCACCUGGGCACAUAGCCCCAAAUCCUGUCUGAAGAUUUGCUUCAAGUAGUUUUGGCUUCUGGAGAGGCAGGGAGCUCUAUCCACCAUUUUUGAGAGAGAUGGGAGAGAGAAUGUGUGCAAAUCCUUCGGGGGAGACCCCCUGAAGACUUUAUUAUUGGGAGCAAAGUACCUACGUCCUGUGUUUCCAUUUGAUCAUCUGUUAGGUGUGCAGUUAUAUGCCUCCAUGAUACCCCAUAUCAUUGCUUUGUAGCAUUUAGAUCAACUAUAAUUAUUUGUGUGAUCAUCAGUUUAAUGUCUCCCUUCCUUCUUUCCCUCUCUCAAGAAAGCGCCCUGAAGGUAGGGCCAUGUUUGAAUUGCUGUGCAUGGCUGUAUACAUAGCAUCUAGCAGAGGGAUCGACUCAAGAUACACACUCAACAAUAAAUACCUGCUAAAUGAUGAAUGUAAAAGUUCAGUCCCUCAAGUCAUCCACAGAACUUUCCCAGAUUACAUUCACCAGACUUCUUCUUUCUAGCACUGUGAGGGAAAAAUUUGAUUUUCAACUGUUAAUGAACUCUAAACCUGAAAAACAAGACAUAUAUUAUAGGGUUGGCUUUGACCAAAGGCCUGCCACCUCUGGCCUGAGAAGUUUUCUUGGUAACUAUAACUAUGAGCUGGAAAUAAAAAGCUGUUCUGUUUAUUUACACAAUUGGCAACGAUUUAUUGGAGGGAGAUAACAUUAAGAACUUCAGGAACACUUCCUUUGAAACUUGGAAAUAGUUAUUCAUUCAAUACUUUUUUAAAUCUCUUUCUCAGAGAGUAUAACUUUUUGUGCCUGGUGUGCCUUCUUCUUUUAAGAAUCUUUUUUGUUUUUGUUUUCAAGACAAGAUCUCACUCUGUCACUCAAGCUACAGUGCAGUGGCAUGAUCUUGGCUUACUUCAGCCUCGACUUCCUGGGCUCAAGUGAUCCUCCCACCUCAACUCCAGAGUAGCCUGAACUUCAGGUGUGCACCACCAUGACACGCUAAAUUUUUUUUCUUUGGUAGAGACGGAUUCUCACUAUGUUGGCCAGGCUGGUCUUGAACUCCUGGUCUCGAACAAUCCUCUGCGACCUCCCAGAGUGCUGGGUUUACAGUUGUGAGUCACCCUGCCCAGCCUGGUGUACCUUUUUCUGAUCUUUUGUUAACUGAGGGUUUUUCCUCUUCCUUCUACAAUGUAAACAUUAACAGCAGCAGAAGAAAGUGAAGUGCCAAAUCCUGUAUUAAUACACCAGUUGUGGAAGUGCACUCACUUGAGCAGUCUCAGAGUGGACAGAGUUAGCUGACCUUCACAAAGCCGGACAGCAAAGUCCUGGACAGAAAAGGCCACUGGGAGAGUUUCCUGGGGCUCAGCCAGGCUGCUGCCUUGUUCACACCCCCAGGAGGGUAAAGUGCUCUGGGUUAUCCAUAGCUCACUCAGUAGGGGUAAGUGAGAGGAAGGGGAGGUGAGCAGGAACAGACAUAUUGAUGACGGGGCUCAUACAACGUGAUUUUGUCAUUCCAGCCACCUGGUGUCCUCCGUGGGUUUCAGACCCCAAGCUAAUGCCCCCUUUUCCCUACUAUAGCAAUGUUGAAGGCCCCUUCAGCACCCCUAUUGCCCUUCAUACCAUAAUUUGGCUGAAUAACUCCAGUCCCCACCUUGUCCCAUGAAUUCUCAACAGGUUUCAGUAGGGGUUCAGUGUGGUUUCCUGGUCUUCUCCCUUCCCCUUUGCUUGAGUGAUGUAGUGGGUUGAACACAUCCCCCCACAAAAGUAUGUCUAAGUCCUAACCCCUGGAACCUAUGAAGGUAACUUCCUUUGGAUAAAAAGUUCUUUGCAAAUGUAAUGUAAGGAUCUUGAGGUCAAAUCAUCCAGGAUUUAGCCGGGCACCGUAGAUCCAAGGACACCUGAAGAAGAGGAGAGGACACACAGACCCAGAGGAAAAGGUUAUGUGAAGAUGGAGUCAGGAAUUGAUGAGCACCACAAGCCAAGGAACACCAAAGAUGGCCAGCAGCCACCAGAAGCUAAGAGAGAGGCAUGGAACACGUUCUCCCUCAGAGCCUACAGAAGGAGCCAGCCCUGACAACACCUUCACUUUGGACUUCUGGCCUCCACCAAAUGAGAGAAUAAGUUUCUGUUGUUUUCCGCCACCCAGUUUGUUAAUUUGUUAUGGCAACGCCAGGAAACUAGGAGAGUAUAAUUUGGAAAAGAUCUUUAAGAUCCGCCACCCAGUUUGUUAAUUUGUUAUGGCAACGCCAGCAAACUAGGUGAGUAUAAUUUGGAAAAGACCUUUAAGACCUGAGUUGUUAUCUACCCACGUUGUCUUUUCAACAGCAUUGUGUAAGCUGAUGCAACCAGGACUUGCAGGUGUUGAGGAAGAGUGCUAGGUCAUGUGUUGUUAACCAUCAGCCCCUAAAGCAGUGGCUGUUCAUGGCAGAUAACACCUCUCUUAUUCUUAUCACCUGAGAAAAUGAGAGAACAGCCAUGCAGCUUAGGGACCACUCAGCUGGGUGGGGAGUGGGUGGAAAGGGCAAUCAUUUGAGCAGGGUCACAGGACUUUCCUCUCCCCACUUGUUUUUGCUUAGCACAUAAGCAGGAAAAGAACAGUGUCCCUGUUCACAGCAGCCACCACCAGUUAGACUGCAAACACAAUCCUUUUCUUUUCUUUCCUUCUUUCUUUUUUUUUUUUGAGACAGAGUCUCACUCUACUGCCCAGGCUGGACUGCAGUGGUGUGAUCUCGGCUCACUGCAACCCCUGCCUCCUGGGUUCAAGCGAUUCUCCUGCCUCAGCCUCCCAAGCAGCUGGGACUACAGACGUGCGCCAACACACCCAGCUAAUUUUUGUAUUUUUAGUACAGACGGGGUUUCACCAUCUUAGCCAGGAUGGUCUCGAUCUCCUGACCUCAUGAUCUGCCCGCCCUGGCCUUCCAAAGUGCUGGGAUGACAGGCAUGAGUCACUGUGCCCAGCUGUCCUUUUCUUAAAUGAUAGAAUUUUCUCUAUGGGGCAAAGCAAUGCAACAUUCACAAUCAGAGAAAAGAAAUCCUCGCACCCUCACUAUUCUCUUUGGUCUUUUCCUCUCCCAGGCACCAGCCCUUUCACCUGAUGUCAGAGCAGCACAGCUGAAAGCUGUAACCUGGGUGAGGUGGAGGGCGACUAGCAGGCAUGCGCAGAGAGUUGUCAUCGAAAAUAACAAGACUAUUCUGGAUAUGAGUAACACUGAGGAAUAAGAUACUAAGCCAUUAAAGAAGGGUAUAAAAAUUAUGUCUGACACAGGAUAUGGAGAGAAAUAUGAUGAAGAUGAAAUAUGACAACAGAAUCAAGAGCACCAUUUUUCACUUGAAAGAGCGACUGGCAGACAAACUGUGGUUAUUCAAACUUGGGUAUUCAGCAGAACUUUACUCAAAAACAUAUGAAGUAAACCUGUCAUUUUGAGGAAAGAAAAACUGACAGUUUAUUAAAGAUAAAAUUUGGGUUUUCAACUAAAAUUUUGAAUUUUGGAAGACCUGCAUUCACCACUCAGCUGCAGACCCAAUGUAAUCACCAAGAGAGAAUGAAAACCUCCAACUACCAUGAAUCAGGCUUAACACAAAAUCAGGUUCUCCAUGUUGCCCAAGCUGGUCCUGAACUCCUGACCUCAAGUGAUUUGCCCACCUUCGCCUCUCAAAGUGUGGAAUUACAGGUACGAGCCACCACAGCCGGCUCACCUUUUCAUGUAAAGGAAGCACUUUAUGACUUCUCUUUGGCAUAUCCAGAUUGCCAGCGUCCUUACCCUCACACUCUGGGGCCAUUAUUACGUAAAAUAAGGGUUACCUGAAUGCAGCACUGUGGUACCAUGACAGCCAAUCUGCUCCCAGGGAUGGCUGCUAAGUGACUAUCACGAGGGGAGGGCAGGGAGCAUAGAUAGUGUGAUCACUGGACAAAGGGAUGAUUCACCUCCCUUGAGGGACAGAAGGGGAGUGCUUGAGAUUUCAUCAUGCUACUCAGAACAGCACACAAUUUAAAACUUAUGAAUUGUUUAUUUCUGGAGUUUUCAUUUUAAUAUUUUUGAACUGCAGCUGACUGAGGGUAACUAAGACCACGGAAAGUGAAAGCAUGGAUUAAGUGGAACUACUGUGUAUGUACAGAUAUAUAUAUAUAUAUAUAUAUACACACACACACAAACACAUAUAUGUAUAUAUAGAUACAUAAAUCUAUAUCAUAUACAUAUAUGUAUAUACAUGUAUACAUCUAUAUAUACACAUAUUUAUAGAUAUACAUUCUUAUGUAAACUAGACUAUACAUUCUUUGACAUUAGGAAAUGUGUUUUAUCUAUUAUUUAUCACCAGAGCCUAGAUGGUCAGUAGGUUUUUGUUUUUGUUUUUUUUUCUGAGACAGAGUCUCGGUCUGUCGCCCAGGCUGGAGUGCAGUGGCGCGAUCUCUGCUCACUGCAAGCGCUGCCUCCUAGGUUCACGCCAUUCUCCUGCCUCAGCCUCCCAAGUAGCUGGGACUACAGGCGCCCGCCACCACGCCUGGCUAAUUUUUUUUUUGUAUUUUUAGUAGAGACGGGGUUUCACCAUGUUAGCCAGGAUCAUCCUGAUCUCCUGACCUCGUGAUCCGCCUGCCUCGGCCUCCCAAAGUGCUGGGAUUACAGGCGUGAGCCACCGCGCCCGGCCACGGUCAGUAGGUUUUAGUUGAAUCAAUGAACAAUGUUUAAAGACAGUGACCACUUGGUUUCUGUCUAUCUCCAUUGAAGAUUAAAUAACAGCACUUACACUUCAACCUUUAAGUAUUAAAAAUAAUAAGUUAUAUAUUAGAAUGAGUUGUUAAAUUUUGUGGACUCUUUUCUGCCUUCUUUCUUCAUAUGAGGACACAUUUUUAUUUGUCUAAGACAGCAUAGGAUGUCUUCUGCUUGGUUUUGUACUGGUAGAUCAAAAUUAACUUUCUCGGAUCUGAAAUAAUUUUUUUGCUAGAUCAAAAUAAAUUUCUCCAGGGAAACAAUGCAUAUUCAAAUAGCCUAAUUUCUAAUAAUGCAGGGGACCAAAAACAGUUAAAGGAGAAAGAUUUGGUUCAGUUUUAAUUAUGACUUUCACUUGCUUAUUAUGGGAUUUCUUUUUGGGACUUAACAUUUUUAUUUUAGAUCCAACACUAACUGUCAAUGCUUAACUAACAUGACUGAAGAAGUUGAUCUUACAUUUAUAUUUCUAUUCUUAUUACAGAAUGGAUUUAAUAUGUUAAGAUGUUGAACAGAACCAUGAACUGCAUUUCACAAAAUGGUACAUUUCAUAAAAUCUAAAAUCCCAGCAAAAUGAUAGGGACAACAACUUAGCACGCUGUUAAUUUUUCACUUAAGGGUGCCAAAAUGAUAUUUCAGUCUUUUUUACAUAGACAGGUCAAAUGUCAUUCAGUGGCACUCCUGAACACAGGCAAGUCAUUUUCAGAGGUGAAAAAGCUGUGGUUGGCUGCUCUUGAAACAGGUUUCUCUACAAUCCACCUCUCAUCUUUCUUCUCUUACCGAACCCACUCUGGUGUUCACGUCCUGCUACAUGUAGGCAAGAGUAUACCCAUCCUACGCCUUUUAACUCUUUUGAGGGGCAUACAUAAUUCAAGGACAAUUAACUUGUUCUACAAAUACCAGUUUAGGUGUCAAUUUAGCAUUCUGCAAAUAAGGUAUAAUACUAUAGAAAUGGAAGGGGUGAUUUCCCCAAGUAAUAGGUCUCUUACGGAAAACAUGCAAGCACGUUUGUGUCUGUUUGGCUUAGUGCUGUAUUCUUCAAAGUCUUGAGCAGGGCCUGGUGCAGACUGUAUACCCAACAAAUAUUUCUCUUAUUAAAAAGUAUAAAGUGAAAGCACAAAAGGGAUGGUUCAGCAAGAUAAGAAAGAUGAGAGGUGGAUUACAGACACACCUGUUUCAAGAGCAGUCAACCACAGCUUUUUCACCUACUGAAAAUGACUGGCCUGUGUUCAAGAGCACCACUGAAUUACAUUCAAUCUUUCUAUUUAAAAGAAACUGAAACAUCAUUUUGGUACUCUUAAGAAUUUUUUUAUUUUAACUAUUUAAAUUUUUUAUUUGUAUAAAUUUAUGGGUACAAGUGUAAUUUUUUUGCAUGUAUUGAUUGCAUAGUGGUCACCCUUUUAGUGUAUCCAUCACCCUAAUAAUGUACAUUGUACCAAUAAAGAAUUUCUCAUCAUCCCUUCUCCUUCUCUCCAGUCUUCUGAGUCUCCACUAUCAUUCCAAACUCUAUGUCCAUAUGUACAUUUUAUUUAGCUCUUGCUUAUAAGUGAGACCAUGAUAAUGGAAGAGAGAUUGGUUAAGCUGACUUCCCAAAGUUCUCCCAACCCUGAGAUUCUAUGAUUCUAGCAGGCUGGAUCUCUUGUAGUGUUCUCAGAGAGAACAGCUACUAACCAGUG
Long non-coding RNA from Gorilla gorilla gorilla (western lowland gorilla), 7871 nucleotides. RefSeq lists it as uncharacterized. The transcript is spliced from 6 exons. The record is from RefSeq and is a predicted model, not a curated record. Lineage: Eukaryota; Metazoa; Chordata; Mammalia; Primates; Hominidae.